RNAcentral lists this ribosomal RNA (425 nucleotides) under uncultured bacterium. RNAcentral describes it as "bacterial SSU rRNA". It matches the Rfam family "Bacterial small subunit ribosomal RNA", at positions 355 to 776 of the family's 1533-position model. The record is from RNAcentral.
UGGGGAAUUUUGCGCAAUGGGCGAAAGCCUGACGCAGCAACGCCGCGUGGAGGAUGAAGGUCUUUGGAUUGUAAACUCCUGUCAGCAGGGAAAAAGGCACCUGGCCACACCAGGUGAUUGAUUGUACCUGCAGAGGAAGCCCCGGCUAACUCUGUGCCAGCAGCCGCGGUAAUACAGAGGGGGCAAGCGUUAUUCGGAAUUAUUGGGCGUAAAGGGCGCGUAGGCGGCGUCUCAAGUGGAUGGUGAAAUCCCCGGGCUUAACCUGGGAACUGCCGUCCAAACUGAGAGGCUUGAGUCCGGGAGAGGUAAGUGGAAUUCCCAGUGUAGCGGUGAAAUGCGUAGAUAUUGGGAGGAACACCAGUGGCGAAGGCGGCUUACUGGACCGGAACUGACGCUGAGGCGCGAAAGCGUGGGGAGCAAACAGG